This 393-nucleotide ribosomal RNA is filed under the name uncultured bacterium. RNAcentral's name for it is "bacterial SSU rRNA". It matches the Rfam family "Bacterial small subunit ribosomal RNA", at positions 521 to 916 of the family's 1533-position model. The record is from RNAcentral.
UAAUACGUAGGAGGCGAGCGUUGUCCGGAUUUACUGGGUAUAAAGGGUCCGCAGGCGGGUUGACAAGUCGGUGGUGAAAUCCUUCAGCUUAACUGAAGAGCUGCCGUCGAUACUGUUAAUCUUGAAUACAGGAGAGGGUAACGGAAUUCCAGGUGUAGCGGUGAAAUGCUUAGAUAUCUGGAAGAACACCGGUAGCGAAGGCUGUUGCCUGGCCUGGUAUUGACGCUCAGGGACGAAAGCGUGGGGAUCAAACAGGAUUAGAUACCCUGGUAGUCCACGCUGUAAACGAUGGAUACUCGGUGUUGGCCUGAAAGGGUCGGUGCCUAAGCAAACGCAGUAAGUAUCCCACCUGGGAAGUACGAUCGCAAGGUUGAAACUUAAAUGAAUUGACGG